Molecule: long non-coding RNA, 5420 nt
Organism: Meriones unguiculatus (Mongolian gerbil)
Lineage: Eukaryota; Metazoa; Chordata; Mammalia; Rodentia; Muridae
Exons: 2
Source: RefSeq, a predicted model, not a curated record
GCAUCCCAUACCGCGGGCGCUCGGCCGAGGCAGGAGCGUGGUGCGGAGUUCCAGACCAGGCCUGGCUGCGGAGUGAGACUCCGAGAAAACCAGAUAAUCGAAAGGCCUGGUCUGCAGAGUGAGACUUAAAAAUCCCAACCCCCACCAACAAAUAAAGCCGAAACAACAGCAACAAAACAAACAAGCCAAAACCAAACCUACAGCCCACCUACCCACAAGAACGAGGACGCAGAAGCGGUCGGAGUCCCGUUAGGAAGGCCUCCCUUUCAUGUCCAUACAGCAGGGUACUCUCAGCCCGAGUGUUGAUGCGAGUCCUAGAGCCUCGCAGCUGAAGGGGUCCCGACACCGGCUAGUGUCCUGCCCGAGGGCUUCAGCGUUUUCUGUCUCCUGGCCACAGCUCCCUGAAGACAUUGGUGCAUUUGUAGAAAUCCAUUUACAUUUCCCUUCUGGAACCUCUGAGGGCCUGUGCUUCCCAGAGUGGGGUUGUGGGAUGGUAGGCUGUGUGAGAAAAGCGAUUUCCCCAGGUCCUCCCCUAUAGAAGGGUCCUUUUACCUUUGCUGUGUAAUUUCAUGGUUGACACCGGAGUUCUGGCCUCGGCUCCACUCACCCGCUGUGGGAUGUUGGGCAGAUUACCCAAGUCUGCGUGGGAGCAUUUGGUGGUGCCCCCACCUGAGGGGCGACUUGGGGGCUUUUACAAGGAGAAGCGUGCAGAGCCCUCAUUCUUGAGCAUGGCUGUUUGGCAUGUCCGUUGGCCCAUGUGUAUUGUCCGAGCUGUCUUUUGUCUAAUUUUCUCUGGUGAGAAUCCUCAGUAGAAACCUUUAGUCACAUAGGACCGGUUAGUUUGUUUUCGGUUUCUCUCUGAGCACUGCCCUUUUUUUUUUUUUUUUACAAAUAACUUCUUUUGUUUAUUAUUAUUGUGUGCGUGAAAUGUGGCUGUGUCAGAGGAGACCCUUGAAUACAGUUCCUCACGUUUUGGCGACCCGCAGCCAUGCAGUUAUUUUGUUGCUGCUUCAUAACUAAUUUCACCACUGUUAUGAAUGGUAAUAUAAAUAUGUUUUCCGGUGGUCUGUGGUGAUCCCCGUGAGAGGGUGGUGCCCACAGGUUGAGAACCUCUGCUGCACAGGUUGCUGUGCAGCAAGCGCUUUUACCUGCUGAGCUGACUGGCUUUUCACCCGGUGUUUAUUUAGCAUGUAUACCUGUGACACUCAGCUCGAGAACAGAAGUGGGCAGCGCUCCAUUGCCAGUGUGGAGAGCGGUGGGGACAGGUUGGAAGGCUCUCUUCUACACUUGAUCUUAGCCAGAAGGCCGAGAAGCGAGGGGAGGGUCUCUGUAGUCCUCUCUCCUCCUGCUUCAGCUCUCAGGGACUCCAGAGCUACGACUGGAGAGUGAACCAGUUCACCUACACCAGAAUUCCAGUUUUGAGAAAUUAAAGGCACGAGAACCAAGAGUCCCCAGAGUGUUGAUGUUCUAUGUGUGAGCCACCUCACCUAAUAUUUAAAAAAAAAAAAAAAUAUUUUAUUAGUGAGUGUGUGUGCGUGCGUGUAGGUACCCACUGGUUUCAGAAGAGGGUAUUAGAACCUGCGGAGCUGGAGUUAAGUAGUUGUGAACCACCUCAUGUGGAUGCUAGGCACCAAACUGGCUUCUACAAGAGCAGAAUGUGCUUCUAACUGCUGAGCAGUCUCUGCAGGCCCCUACACCCAGCAUUUUUUUUUUCUUUGUCUUUGAUUUGUGGGGUUUGUUUUCUAGACAGGGUUUGUUUGUGUUGCUCUGCCUGUCCUCACUAUAGAUCAGGCCAGCCUCUAACUCACAGAGAUCUGCCUGCCUCUGCCUCCUGAGUGAAUGCUGGGGUAACUGGCCUGCGCCACGGCACUCGGCUGAUUUGUUUUAGUCAGGCAGUCUGGAUGGAUUUCUGUUUAUGUUUCUUUCGUUGUCUCUUGUGUUAGUUACGACUUGAAUUAAAAGUUUGUGCUUCGGUGGCCUCUGGCACUCCAAGGUGCCAAACUUGGCCCGUGGCUGUGCUGUCUGGGUUCCUGGCAUCCUUUUGUGAGACAGUCUCCCAAUGUAGCCGAAGGCUGGCCUUGAACUCUGUUCUCUCCUGUUUCUACCACCUUACACUGGGUCACAGCUGGCUCAGGACACCCGGCUAUUCAGGCAGGUGUACUGUAACCCAUGCAGGUUAAAACAGGUUGCCUGGCAGGCCUGGGAUUUGUGGUUGUCACUGACGCAGUCUCUUUGUGCCUAACCCCUGGGAGAUUGCUGUGUGUGAGACAGUCCUGCCCAGCCUUCUCUGAGCCCUGGGCAUCUUCUUUCCUGGAUUCCAAAAUCAAGAAGAUGUAGGUGAAAAGCAGCACUGGCCCCACCCCGUGAGCAGGCCUGGAUCCUCCCAGCACCUGGCUUUCCUGGCAGGGCUGUGAUGUUGGCUCUGCUUGUGUUGUGUCCCAGGGGAGUGGGUGAGACUGGUUUAAGUGUUUAUGUUUUUAUUGCAGGGAUUGUGUGUGAGACUUGGGCCAUGACUAACUGUCAGGCCAUUUGCUUUAAUAAGUUUGUAAGUGAGCUGUGGUGGCCAGGCCUGUAAUCCAGCUCUCAGGAAGCCGAGGCAGAGGGAUCAAAAAUUCAAGGCCUGCUGGGUAUAGACUGAGUCCAGAGCUAGCUCUGUCUCAGAAAGUAAACAGAGCCUGGGGUGCAGCUCAGAGGAUGAACACCGGCCCAGCGGCCCAGCGCGUGUGAGUCCCUGGCUUGUUACUGUUGAAAAUGAAAACAAACACAAAUUAAAAAGCCGAACUGUGGCUUUCUCUAGGGGUCAGGUGUGGUGGUCUGGGGCUGGGGACGCUAGGAACCCAGAAUGGUGUCAUUGGCAUUUAGACUCCUGAUAACUCAGAACCUUCUGUGUCCCAUUAGUGACAUAAGCAGUUGCUACUUGGUCCCUCCGCUGUGGUGCCACACAUGUCAGGAUGUAGAGUGACCUGGAGCAGCUGAGAACUGUUGGAAUCCUUUCCUGGGUCUUUCUCUGGGCAGGUUGAAUGUCCAGGGUGGGAAGACGGCUCUGUGCUUGGAGCUCAGGCUGCUCUACCAGAGGACCUGGGUUCAGCUCCCUGCCCCCACGUGGUCUGCACAACCAUCGGUGACCUCUUCUGGCCUCCACAAGCACUGUGUGCUUAUGAUGUGCGCGCACGCGUGUGCGUGCGCGCACACACACACACACACAACGCAUGCACGCAGGCAAAGCAGGAGUAAACAGGAACUAAAAACAGAUAUGUAAUUGCUUAAGAAAAGAAAGGAGGGGUAGGGGUAGAGAGCCAGCUUAGCAGUUAAGAGCGCUGGCUGCUCUUGCAGAGGGCCCAGCUCAAUUCCCAGCAUCUACAUCGUGGCUCACCACUUUCUGUAGCUCCAGUCCCAGGGAUCCAACACACUUUUCUGACCUCUUUAGGCACAGGCCCACUCAUGGUGCAUAGACACAAAUUCAGGCAACACAAACAAACAAAAAUGACAGGCGUCUCCUGCAGCCACAGUAGUGGCCGAGACCAGGGUCCAUGGCUGGCUGAUGGACAACCAUGUCUGAGGCUGAAAGCCUGGGUGGAGGCGUGAUCUGAGUGUCCACCCUGUCACUGCCAAGUUCAUCUGUCACCACCUAGCUCACAGCCUGGGCCUGUGACUUGACUGGGAAUCUGCCUUCCAGGCCCUUGUGGGAGUCCAGGAUCACUCGCUGGCCCCUUGUCUGUACCUAGAGCCACCAGGCUGUUUUUCUUCCUGAACUCUGCCUGUCUCUGUUGGACUUCUCUGGGACACACAUCAAGGGUUCCCAAAAGAGAUCACUGGGGACAGUGAUGGACAGAUGGAGCCAUCUUCAGGGACAGCUGUGUGCCGAGUUUCCUGGCUGGGUAGAAGUCUGUGUCCAGAGGCUGCAGCUCUGCAAUGGAGCCCUGAGAGGUGGAGCUCAGUGGUUUGACUGUACACCAGGCUGGCCUUGACCUCACAGGAGAUCCACUUGGCCCUGCCUCCCGAGUGAUAGGAUCCCUGGUGUGCGCUGCCACACCUGACCUCAAAGUAUUUUUCUAAAUAAGGGAGUAUUUUGUCCCUUAACACCCCUAACCCCCUCUUAUAUAGUUCAGCUCAGGCUUACCUGAAACUCACUGUUGUAGCCCUAUGUUGGCCUUAGAUCCAUAGGUGAUCCUCCUGCCUCAGUCCCAACCAUACCAGGAUGAUAGCCUGUCUCUUUCUUUUCUUCCUCUCUCUCUUUCUCUCUCAGACAUGGUCUUACUGUGUGUUUCUGGCUGUCCUGGAACUUGUUAUGUAGAACAAGCGGGCCUCAAACUCAUAGAGAUCUGUUCUCCUGCCUCUGACACCACGUGCUGGGAUUAAAGGUGCCCACCGUCACACUUGGCCUGCCUCCCUUUCUAUACAGCUGCUCUGUAAAUCAGGCUGGCCUGGAACUCAGAGCUGCCUGCCUCGGCCUCCUGAGUGCCGAGAUUAAAGGCGUGCACCACCACUGCCAGGCUUUUUCUUGUUUUGUUUUAUUGUUGAACUUUUCUGUAGUAUUUGAAGUGCAGCAACAGGUUUUUAUUCAUUUGUUUAUUUUUAUUGGAAUAAAACUAUAUGUAACAGCUUGGGUAUGGAGGUGCAGGCCCAUGACAGCCCUCAGGAGACUGAGGUAGGAGGAUCACAAGUUUGAGGCCAUGACGUCAGAAGACUCAACACAGCAUUCAUCACUAAGCCCGGUUUCCCUCCGAUGUAUGGCCUCAGUUCAGGGGUGGGAGGUACCUUCUGGAGUACAGUUGUCGGCCUGCCUUCUCCAGAACUGUCCCUCCAGGCGCUGCUGGGGUUCAGCGCUGCCCCCCACAGCCCCUUCCUCAUUCUGCUGGUGCCUUCCAAAGUGGUGCCUGCCCUAGGGAGCUCAGGAGCGGAAUCUCAUCUUGCGGUGUGUGUUUGUGGUUGGUUUACACUGUGUGAAGCCCUCAUCCAUGUUGCAGUGUUGACCAGGGAAGUUCCUCGCUGCAUGUUUGUGCCUGGAUUUGCUGACCCUUUCACAGAACUGCUGGGCUGAUGGGAGGGGUGUGUGUACAAGGCUGUGACAUCUCUGGAGACCCUGCUUUCAGCUCCUUGGGCCUAAGGGUGGCGGCAGCCACGCUGGCCCUUGGUGAGCAUGAGCCAGGUUGUCUGUGGGGCUGUGGCAGUGCAGGUUUGGGGAUCGCCUGCUCUCUGCUCAUGUGCACACCCUCCCGGGUUUUGUCUCUUGCUGUGCUGUCUUUUGUGUGUGGGGGCGGAGCCGCUUCUCAGAAUCACUUACACCAUUUCACUGGAGUGAGUGAAACUGCCAACCUGCAGCACUAAAUCCAUCGCUUGAGGAGGACUGUGCAUGGGCUAUGGACGGCCCAGGGUUCCAACCCCAGCACCAUGCAAACCAAAACAAAACAAAAACAAAG